This 246-nucleotide ribosomal RNA is filed under the name uncultured bacterium. Its description in RNAcentral is "partial 16S ribosomal RNA". It matches the Rfam family "Bacterial small subunit ribosomal RNA", at positions 109 to 353 of the family's 1533-position model. The record is from RNAcentral.
CGUAACGCGUAUGUAACCUACCUAUAACAGGGGCAUAACACUGAGAAAUUGGUACUAAUUCCCCAUAAUAUUCGGAGAGGCAUCUCUCCGGGUUGAAAACUCCGGUGGUUAUAGAUGGACAUGCGUUGUAUUAGCUAGUUGGUGAGGUAACGGCUCACCAAGGCAACGAUACAUAGGGGGACUGAGAGGUUAACCCCCCCACACUGGUACUGAGACACGGACCAGACUCCUACGGGAGGCAGCAUG